UACGGAGGGGGCAAGCGUUAUUCGGAAUUAUUGGGCGUAAAGGGCGCGUAGGCGGCUAGAUGUGUCAAAGGUGAAAUCCCUCGGCUCAACUGAGGAACUGCCUUUGAAACUGUCUGGCUUGAGGCCGGGAGAGGGUAGCGGAAUUCCCAGUGUAGCGGUGAAAUACGUAGAUAUCGGGAGGAACACCAGUGGCGAAGGCGGCUCUCUGGACAGGUUCUGACGCUGAGACGCGAAAGCGUGGGUAGCAAACAGG
This 253-nucleotide ribosomal RNA is filed under the name uncultured bacterium. RNAcentral describes it as "partial 16S ribosomal RNA". It matches the Rfam family "Bacterial small subunit ribosomal RNA", at positions 524 to 776 of the family's 1533-position model. The record is from RNAcentral.